AAGACCCCGGAACCUUUACUGCAGUUUGGUAUUGAGUUUGGUUACUAUUUGUGUAGGAUAGGUGGGAGACUUUGAAGAUGUCGCGCUAGCGGUGUUGGAGUCAUUGGUGAAAUACCACCCUGACAGUAUUUAGAUUCUAACUUUGACCCUUGAAUCAGGGCAAAGAACAGUGCCAGAUGGGCAGUUUGACUGGGGCGGUUCCCUUCUAAAAUGUAACGAAGGGGUUCAAAGGUUUCCUCAAGACGGUCGGCAAUCGUCUUUAGAGUGCAAUGGCAUAAGGAAGCUUAACUGCGAGUCCGACAGGACGAGCAGAUACGAAAGUAGGACAUAGUGAUCCGGCGGUUGAUCAUGGGAUUGCCGUCGCUCAACGGACAAUAGGUACUCCGGGGAUAACAGGCUGAUAGCGUUCGAGAGUUCAUAUCGACAACGCUGUUUGGCACCUCGAUGUCGGCUCAUCCUAUCCUGGGGCUGGACAAGGUCCCAAGGGUCCGGCUGUUCGCCGGUUAAAAGGGUACGCGAGCUGGGUUUAGAACGUCGUGAGACAGUUCGGUCUCUAUCUGGUGUGGGCGUUCGAUAGUUGAAGGGGAUAUCUCCUCAGUACGAGAGGACCGGGAGAUACAGACCUCUGGUGUUCCAGUUAUCCUGCCAAGGGUAAUGGCUGGGUAGCUACGUCUGGAAAGGAUAAGCGCUGAAAGCAUCUAAGUGCGAAGCCCACCUCAAGAUUAGCUAUCGUUUUCCGCUUCGGUGGAAUGAAGGCUCCUCGUAGACUACGAGGUUGAUAGGCUGCAUGUGUAAGACCCGUGAGGGUUUCAGCUAAGCAGUACUAAUAGGCCGAAGGCUUGACCUU
This 847-nucleotide ribosomal RNA is filed under the name hydrothermal vent metagenome. Its description in RNAcentral is "bacterial LSU rRNA". It matches the Rfam family "Bacterial large subunit ribosomal RNA", at positions 2085 to 2925 of the family's 2925-position model. The record is from RNAcentral.